Molecule: ribosomal RNA, 253 nt
Filed under: uncultured bacterium
Lineage: Bacteria
Description: partial 16S ribosomal RNA
Rfam family: Bacterial small subunit ribosomal RNA
Source: RNAcentral
UACGUAGGGGGCUAGCGUUGUCCGGAUUUAUUGGGCGUAAAGAGCGUGUAGGCGGCCGAGUAAGUCCGGUGUGAAAACUCGAGGCUUAACCUCGAGAUGUCAUCGGAAACUAUUCGGCUAGAGUCCGGAAGAGGAGAGUGGAAUUCCUGGUGUAGCGGUGAAAUGCGCAGAUAUCAGGAAGAACACCUACGGCGAAAGCAGCUCUCUGGGACGGUACUGACGCUGAGACGCGAAAGCGUGGGGAGCGAACAGG